Molecule: unclassified non-coding RNA, 87 nt
Filed under: Pseudomonas migulae
Lineage: Bacteria; Pseudomonadati; Pseudomonadota; Gammaproteobacteria; Pseudomonadales; Pseudomonadaceae
Source: RNAcentral
CGUAGGAGCCGGCUUGCUGGCGAUGGUAUCGACUCGGUCUGUCAGAUGCACCGAGUCGAUACCAUCGCCAGCAAGCCGGCUCCUAUG